RNAcentral lists this ribosomal RNA (311 nucleotides) under uncultured eukaryote. RNAcentral describes it as "partial 18S ribosomal RNA". It matches the Rfam family "Eukaryotic small subunit ribosomal RNA", at positions 1470 to 1796 of the family's 1831-position model. The record is from RNAcentral.
CCCUUAGAUGUCCUGGGCCGCACGCGUGCUACACUGAUGCAUACAGCGAGUACUCCCAGCUCCGAGAGGCUGCUGGUAAUCAGCAAUAUGCAUCGUGAUGGGGAUAGAUCUUUGGAAUUAUAGAUCUUGAACGAGGAAUUCCUAGUAAUCGCAGGUCGUCACCCUGCGUUGACUAAGUCCCUGCCCUUUGUACACACCGCCCGUCGCUCCUACCGAUUUCGAGUGAUCCGGUGAAUCAUUCGGACCGCGGCCCCUAGGCAUGCGGAAAGUCUAGUAAACCAUAUCACUUAGAGGAAGGAGAAGUCGUAACA